Molecule: long non-coding RNA, 4568 nt
Filed under: Homo sapiens (human)
Lineage: Eukaryota; Metazoa; Chordata; Mammalia; Primates; Hominidae
Description: non-protein coding lnc-FSIP2-5:4
Source: RNAcentral
CCCCGCUAAUUUUUUUUUUUGUAUUUUUAGUAGAGACGGGGUUUCACCGUGUUAGCCAGGAAGGUCUCGAUCUCCUGACCUCGUGAUCCGCCCGCCUCGGCCUCCCAAAGUGCUGGGAUUACAGGCGUGAGCCACCGCGCCCGGCCGGUGAUAGUUGUUUUUUAGAAUUUUUUCCCCUUAUCACAAGACUGAAAUGAAAAUUGAUGCAAUCACAUGAUGGAAUAUUUGUUCAAUCUGACAGAUUAAUGGUCUAGGAAGAAAAAAUUAAUUUUGAUUUCACCAAAGAAAAACAGUUUGUUGAAAAUCAAUCAGUUCUCAUACAUAGCUAAGAAAAUAUUCACUGCUUUUCAAGCCAUCAAAUGCUUUUAAUAAAUAUCUAAAACAAGGUGGUUAAAAUGUCAACUAGCACUUUUAUUAAGUAUUUUUCUGGAUUUAAAAAGAGAAAUGUCAUAGCAUAUCCUAUCUUCUAGAUUUGUAUUCUCUUGGUCAAGAGCAAGCAUGAGCAAGCCUCUGAAGAGCUGCAUCUCUAACUGCAAGCAUCCCCACGUACUUAUAUAUAUAUGAGCAGGCACUGGCCCUCUCUUUUCUGACAUUCCCUGAAGUGUUCAAUAUUAACAAGCUGUUCAUUGAACUAGGAACAAAUUGGUUGGAAUCAUAUUUGCUAUGUUUUAUUAAAGCAUAGGCAAAAUUACAAUUUCAAAACUACAAGGGAUCUGAUUCCAAAUGUUAUUUUUGUAUAUGAUGAAUUUUAAAAAGUGUUAAAGGGUGAUCCAAAGUUGCCUAUCUAUUCAUUAGCAUGUCUUGCUUUAUGAAAUCCAGAGGUUUUUUCUAUUAUGAUAUAUGUUGCAUACUGAAUCUUAGGGUGCACAUACCUGGCCUAGACAUAAAGAUCUGCUGUUACGUUAUUUUCAAGUUGAGGUAGAGUUAAUGUAAAGUAAUAUGCAACAAUGUUCUUUUCAAUGAGAUUUACAAUUAUACCCACCAUCUUUGUACCUGCAGCAAAUAGAAAUGCUAUUGUCAAGGUAGUCUGUAUGAAAUGCUGAAUUUGGCAAAUUCCUCAAAAUACUUAUAAAAUGUGUUAUAAUAAAUAAUAUUUAUAUUUUUUUCUGGUAGUAAUAACUAAUUAAUGCUAAAUAUAUUUUUGAACUUCUACUAUGUGCCAGAAAAACAUUGGAAAAACAAAUCUGAAUGAACAGGCUAUUUUCUCAAACCUAUAAGUAAAGGUUGGAGAUAAAUCCACAUUUACAUUUUUUUUUUUAACUUGCUACGAAAACACUUAAAAGAACAACCUGAGGCAUUUUGGCUAACCAGAGAAGCUGAUGCUUCUAUCCAGUAUUGAAGAGUAGAUCACAUUUUGUUUGAUAAAGAUCUUAAAAGUCUCAUGUUUCUACAGGCUUCUAUGAAUUUUCUUCUCUUAAUUGGUUUAAGUGAUUAAUCAGUGAUUACUAGAUGGAUCAUUGAUUGGUGUGACCAAGAUUUAGGCAGAGGGUGUUAAAAGAGUGACUAGUAUGGAGGGUAAAAAUUUUAACAAGUCUAAAUCAUGAAGCACCUUGAAUACCAUUCUGAUUUGUUUGAUUUUCUAUUAGCUAUGUCAGGUCACCAAAAGAUAUUUUUAUGAAAAUAACAUGGUCCUUUUGAUUAUUUCAGAAGACCAUUUUGAAAAUAACAUAGAAACCCCAUUGAUAGGAGAUUAGAUUGAAUUUAGAAAGAAAGACCAUUGUGAAGUGUCUGAGAAAAAGAACUGUUGCUUAGAAUGUAGUCAUUAGCAACAAUUUACAAACAUUACUAAAAUAAUUGAUAUACAUAAGAAUAAGAAAUAUAACUGCAGAAAAUAUGGGAUCUCAGGCAAAAGAAGUAAAAUAGCUAUCCUAUGCUCAAAGAAAGAGAAUAUUUAUCUCUUCUCACAAAUGUUAAUUCACACUGAUUCACUCUCCUGGAAAUGAAGAAGAAUGGAUAGAAAAAGUACCGAUAAAUUGGCUGUAUUUUGUUUUACACACACACCAUAUUAUACACCUCUGUAGUUGCUUUCCUGUCAUCUCUCCUAAGGGGGUGAAUUCUUUAGUAAGAAUGUCUUCUUACUAAAAUUGGCCAUAAGUGUUUGUAAAAAAUAUAUUUUUGAUCCAGAAUAAAUUGAUUUCAGCAUCCAGUGGUAUCCUACACAUUAUAUAUACUUAAUAAAAUAUUUCAGUAACAGGUAUCACAUGACAAACAAAUAAAUGGUUACUACAAAGAUGUAUUCUGUGAGCUUUGUAUUUAUUCAUCCAGGUUUUCACUGUCUUCUAGUUUCAGUUAUCUCUUCAUAUUGCACUUGAUCUUAAAUCAGGAAGAGUGUUUUAUAUUUAAUAUUCUGAAAUAUCUGGUAAUAAUUAUAAGGCUCAUCUAAUUCACCUCACUUUUAGAGACAAAAAUGCUGGAAACAAUCUGUUUAAAUCUUUGAAAAAUAUCUCCAAUAAAUUAAUUUAAUUUUAAGAAUAAUUUUAAAUCUCACAAUCAUGAGAUUAGCGUUAUAAUGAUUUUGUCUUAUUUAUGACAUUAAUGUAUUUUAUUUGCAACAAUACUACAUGUGUAAAAGUUGAGCUGCCCAAUGCAGAUUAAUAAAUCAAAACUAAAAUAUAAUUGACUUUGCAUCCCCUAGUACAAACAGCACAGAACAGUUUCUGAUAGGUCUCCUCUGAUUGUGAAGACAGCACAUUCUACAGGAGAAAUACUCCUUUAGCUCCUACAUCAGCUGUCACAGAAGGCUAACAGCUUUGAAUGAAGCUCAGAGGAGGAAACUGCCCUAGGGCAGACUUGCUACUUGAGUCAUAUACACUGGCUGGCCCUAUUAUUUAGAACAUAUCAGCGGUGGAAAAAGUGGGAGGUUUCUGUCAAGCUUCACUGGACAAAUCACAAUACAGUCCCCUGAGAUUCUAGACGAAGACCACGCUGUCUACAGUAGAGAAUUAUGUGUGUUUAAUAAGCAGCAUUAGCUGUGCUACACGGAGCUGGUAUGGUUUAUUAUCAACAGGCAGAAGAGCCUGCCAGUGGAAUGAACUACAGGAGAAGUACUGAAGGUAAUUUCAAAGUAAUAGGCAGGGACAAUGAGUAACCUAGUUCACAAACACUAUUUUACUGUCUUCCCUUCUAUAGCAUUCCUAAUAUUGUUAAUAGUACUCACAGAAAGAAAACACUGAGACAGAGCUACACUGAAGCCAGGCAGAAAGGGUAAAGCUGCAUACAGUGGUAAAAGUGGUUGACAUCUCCAAAAGAUUUUUCAGUAAGAAGAAUAGAGGAUUAAACUCAUUCCAAAUUAUAUAUUUAAUCACAGAUUAAGUAUAAUAACAAAAUAAAAGAAAAUACAUAAAGAAAUAUAAUAUAUGUAAUUUCAAAAAAACUUAGUUCAUCAUAGUAACUUGCUGAUUUUCACAUUUAAUCUGAUUAUCAAUGCUUUGGAAAAAUUUAAUGUAUCAUGGGGAAUGACAAAGAGGUGCUUUUGAUUAUUUUAUUUAUUGCUCCAUAGAAAUUUAAUCUAUAUCAAAUAAAUUACCCAUUAUUAUGUAUUGAGAUGAUUAUUGGUCUUUAAUAUUAAUAAUACAUUUAUCAUAUACCUAGCACAUAUUUUCUGUAGCAGUGCAAUGAACUGAAAUUAAGUAGCUCUAAUAAGCCUUCAACAAUAUAGCAACAUUCCUAGAAUCCUACUAACUUCAACUCAUGAAUGGGUAGUAAAUUUUAUCAAAUUUCUUAUUGAAAGAUUACAUGGCAAUGUGAUUCAUUAUACUGUCUUAUUUUCCAGUGUACUACAACUUUUAAACAUGGGAGAAAAAAUGAAACCACUCAGGGAUUGUAAAAGAUUUUGAUGUUUAAAUAUUUUUAAUUUUUUUUGGUAAUGUCUGGGUAAGGGUGAUACUGGCUUUAUAAAAGACUUGGAAGAUUUCCUUUUUUUCAUUUCUCUUGAAAUAUUUGCAUAAAGUUGGUGUUACUUUCUCUUUAAAUGCUGGAAAUAAUUUGCCAGUGAAGCCAUCUGUACCCAGGGGUAUUUGUCAGAAAGUUCUAAAACAUACUUAAUAUCAUUAGUAGAAAAGGAAAUAUUUACAUUUGAAAAUUUAUUCUUGUAGGUUUUUUUGGCAAAUUAUGUCUUUUGAGGAAUUUGCCAGUUUUAUAUAUCACAUAUAUCAGAAUGAAGUUGUGCCUUCUAAUUAUGGUUCAAUGCAUUGAAAUAUAGGAAAUGCAAUAAUUUUCCAUUUUCAUAUUUUUUAAUUGCCAAUUUAUAUUGUUAUGUUUUGUUUUCUGCCUCCUUGAUCAUGCUGCUAGAAAGGGGUCAACUUUAGGCUUUUUAUUCCCUAUUAUAGUUGGUUUUCUACCUGGUUGAUUGUUAAUCUUAAUUAUUUCCUUUCUUUUAAUUAUUUAUAUUAAAUUUGCUGUUUUAACUUCUUGUAAAUUGAGAUAGAAGCUAUGGGAAUUAUUUUAUUUUAAAUUUGCUUUUUUUUAAUUGUAUUUGCAAUGACAUAAUUGUACAUAUUUAUGGAGUACAGUGUGAUGUUUCAAUGCAUGUAUACAUUCUAUAAUGAUCAAAUAAAGGCAAUUAGCAG